This 494-nucleotide ribosomal RNA is filed under the name uncultured bacterium. RNAcentral describes it as "partial 16S ribosomal RNA". It matches the Rfam family "Bacterial small subunit ribosomal RNA", at positions 28 to 507 of the family's 1533-position model. The record is from RNAcentral.
GACGAACGCUGGCGGCGCGCUUAACACAUGCAAGUCGAACGGAAAGGCCUGCUUUCCCUUGUGGAUUGCGGGUACUCGAGUGGCGAACGGGUGAGUAACACGUGAGUGAUCUGCCCCCAACUUGGGUAUAAGCCUGGGAAACUGGGUCUAAUUCCCGAUAGGACUGCAGGGUGGUGCCUGUGGUGGAAAACGAUUUUCUAGUGGUUGGGGAUGAGCUCGCGGCCUAUCAGCUUGUUGGUGGGGUAAUGGGCUACCAAGGCGGCGACGGGUAGCCGGCCUGGGAGGGUGGACGGGCACAUUGGGACUGAGAUAAGGCCCAGAAUCCUACGGGAGGCAGGAGUGGGGAAUAUUGGACAAUGGGCGGAAGCCUGAUGCAGGGACGCCGCGUGGGGGAUGACGGCCUUCGGGUUGUAAACCCCUUUCGACCGCGAGGAAGCCACCUGGUUGGAAGGGUGGUGACGGUAGUGGUAGAAGAAGCACCGGCUAACUACGUG